Long non-coding RNA from Ailuropoda melanoleuca (giant panda), 363 nucleotides. RefSeq lists it as uncharacterized. NCBI's taxonomy places the organism in Eukaryota, Metazoa, Chordata, Mammalia, Carnivora, Ursidae. The record is from RefSeq and is a predicted model, not a curated record. The transcript is spliced from 4 exons.
GCCUGCCCUAAGCUUGGAGCGCGGAAAGAGCUGGUUCCUGCAGGAUCUGUUCAGCGGCUGAGCUGGGAGCCCGCUUUCUCUGCGUUAAGAGUCUAUUGAUGGAGAGGAUGCCUAGAACCUGGAAGAUGGAGCCAUCGGAGAGAAGCAGACUGUAUCUGAAUGGCCAUGGGGAGCAGAACGCCCCCCGACCAACCCUAACUCUAAGAAAAUAUAACAGGACAGCCUGACUUAUCAGUGUAACAAAUAUUUCUGUCAGCCUUCAGAGAACAUGGGUUUCAGGUGUACCGUAUAGUGAUUCAACACUUCUAUACAACACCCAGUGCUCAUCACAACAGGUAUCUUUCUUGAUCCCCGUCACCUGUU